GGCUUGUUAUCAACCAUUUUGAAGUCCAAGAAACGGGCGACAACAAAUUUCUUUGUUCCCGCAUCCUCCGUUUUGUACUUUUUCUCCAAGGACUCCCAUAAUUCUUUGGAAGUCUUGAUAUUAUAGUACACAUUAUACAAAGCAUCCGAUAGACCGUUGAGUACAUAGCCUCGACAUAUGAAAUCCGAAUGCUUCCACGCAUCUACCGCGCUCAGAGCCUGAGCGUCGGUCUCCCCUUCCGCAGGUUGGGGAGCGGUUUCCGUCAAGAACCUCGCAAGGUUCAUGGUGGUCAAGUAGAAGAACAUCUUCUGUUGCCACCGCUUGAAGUGUAGACCCGAGAACUUCUCAGGUCUUUCAGCAUGAUUUGCCACUGUGGACGCUCCCACAGUGUUGGCAGGGGUUCCAACUACAACAUUCGUAUUGUUUCAAAAAAUUCUGAUUUACGCACAAACCAGAAGGAAACUACUAAAUUUUAAUUUUACCACAAUUUACUGUUUUGGCUUCUAAGUCCAACUUUGAAGACCAAAAAACAGAAAUUUUAUAAAUUUUAGAACUUACUGAUUGGCUUCUAAGUCCAACUUUGAAGACCAAAUCAGAAAGUUUUAGCAAAUUUAGGACAAGUUUAAAUGUAACCAAAAAUAGUUUUCAACCAAAGUCGCUCCUUUGAAGAUGAAAACUAAAAAAAAUCUGUUUUUAAAACACAAACUGAGUGAAAUCAAAACUGGUUUGAAUCACAAACAGAAAGGUUUUGAUUACACGAACGGUUUUAAAAAUUUGUUUUAAGAUUGUAGGAACCGUUCGCAUAAAUUAAAUAAAAUAAACAAAUUUUAUUACU
Molecule: long non-coding RNA, 835 nt
Filed under: Helianthus annuus (common sunflower)
Lineage: Eukaryota; Viridiplantae; Streptophyta; Magnoliopsida; Asterales; Asteraceae
Description: hypothetical non coding rna
Source: RNAcentral